Molecule: ribosomal RNA, 1251 nt
Filed under: Triticum aestivum (bread wheat)
Lineage: Eukaryota; Viridiplantae; Streptophyta; Magnoliopsida; Poales; Poaceae
Description: partial small subunit ribosomal RNA
Source: RNAcentral
AUGAACACUAGAGUAAGGGGGCAAGGAUUCAUGCGGUAUGGUGCUGGAGUAGAGCCAACCAUCGAUGACAACGAAGAGCUUCAAGCCGUCCAGGCCAAAAUGGGUUCAGCUGAGGAUGAGUACACCCCACUGUCUCAGUUAGAAUAUGGAUUGGACAAAUGUAAAGUGCAGGUGCGCAUCUCACGGCUGUGGGAGUCCUUCAAUCCAAAAAAUAACACUUUAUUCGGCCUUGACUGCCUUCUGAUCGACGAUCAGGGUAAAACUAUGCAGGCGCGUGUAGAUCCCUACGAUAUAGAGUUGUUUGAACAUAGGCUAGUUGAAGGCAAGACUGUGGUCACUGAGAUAGAAGGAGAUAUUGAUUCAAUACCCCUCCACAGCUUUGAGUUUGUUAAUUUUAAGGAUCUCCGUUCUAGGUGUGGCAACAAUAGCUUAUUGACAGAUGUUCUGGGACACGUAGUAGAUGUUCGGGAGAUAGAGGGGGUCAAAAAAAGAUCCCGCCUUUUAGAAAUCUGUAAUGCAAGCAUUCGGGAUUUGAGAGGAAAGGUAGUGGGUGUCACACUGUAUCGAGAUAUUGCUUCUGGGUUUUUUGAGGAUAUGCUUGAGAAAGGCCAAGGUGCCUCAGUUGUUGCUGUCUUUACAGGGAUGGCUGUUGAUUCUUCAUCAUCAGAGUACUACCUUGAUUUGGAAAUACCAGAGGUGCAAGAAUUCCGUGCGAAUUUGCUCAUUCAGCAUGGAAACCCUGUUCCAGAAAAAACUCCAGCUCAGAAGUUGGCCGAGAGUUGGCGAACAAUCGAACAGCUAAAAAGCCUUGAUCCAGAAGAGUACGAUGAGGAUACCAUGUUUUUGUGCAGAGUCUCCCUGAUAGACAUAGAUUGCAGCAGUGGCUGGUGCUAUCUUGGAUGCGACACCUGCCAAAAGUCGAUGUACAAGCUGAAGGCAACGGUGCAGGAUGCCACGGGCACAAUGGACCUGAUGAUCUUCUGUGAGGUGGCGGAGGAGCUGGUUGGUGUCUCCGCGGAGGAGCUCGUCGAUAAGAUCAAGGACGAUGAUGAGUGGUACACCCUGCCGGACGAAAUCGAGGAUCUUCUUGGCUCGACGCACACCUUCGAGGUUUUCGACAAGUACGUGGAUGGGAGCUUCGCGGUGAGCUCGAUCAUGGACGAUGCCAGCGUCCCGGCCCCGCUGCUACUACUAGUCAACGCAAGGAGGAGAAGGCUGGGCCUGAGGGGAGCGCUGCCAUGGCAAGGGUGA